This 405-nucleotide unclassified non-coding RNA is filed under the name Hevea brasiliensis (rubber tree). Lineage: Eukaryota; Viridiplantae; Streptophyta; Magnoliopsida; Malpighiales; Euphorbiaceae. The record is from RNAcentral.
CGAUGAAUCUGCAUGCAGAAGGCUGGUGCCUUGUCGCAAGUGCCCGCAGCAUCGGUGGCGGUGCAUUGUCCGGCAACCCUUUGGCACCAANAAUUGCAGGUGAUAUUGGCGGUGCCCCCGCAAGCUUCGUUGAGAUUCGCCGCCCCGGAUUCACCGGGCAUGAUCGCCACGCCGAGCAUGGCGAUCAUGGUUGCAACAAUCAGACGCAUGAGGCGCAUUCGCUUCGAUCCCCCAGGCAAAGUCUGCGAUUAAUACCUCAGGCGCUCUUUUUAUUUUGCCGGUUGUGCACGAGAUCGUCGACCACAUCGGCCAGCGUCGAAGUGUCGCCGAGCGAGCCGGAUUCGUCUUCCGCGAUCUUGCGCAGGAUGCGGCGCAUGAUCUUGCCCGAGCGCGUUUUCGGCAGGC